GUGCUUAACACAUGCAAGUCGAACGGAAAGGCCCCUUCGGGGGUACUCGAGUGGCGAACGGGUGAGUAACACGUGGGCAAUCUGCCCUGCACUUCGGGAUAAGCCUGGGAAACUGGGUCUAAUACCGGAUAGGACCUUUAGACGCAUGUCUUUUGGUGGAAAGCUUUUGCGGUGUGGGAUGGGCCCGCGGCCUAUCAGCUUGUUGGUGGGGUGAUGGCCUACCAAGGCGACGACGGGUAGCCGGCCUGAGAGGGUGUCCGGCCACACUGGGACUGAGAUACGGCCCAGACUCCUACGGGAGGCAGCAGUGGGGAAUAUUGCACAAUGGGCGCAAGCCUGAUGCAGCGACGCCGCGUGGGGGAUGACGGCCUUCGGGUUGUAAACCUCUUUCACCAUCGACGAAGGUUCGGGUUUUCUCGGAUUGACGGUAGGUGGAGAAGAAGCACCGGCCAACUACGUGCCAGCAGCCGCGGUAAUACGUAGGGUGCGAGCGUUGUCCGGAAUUACUGGGCGUAAAGAGCUCGUAGGUGGUUUGUCGCGUUGUUCGUGAAAUCUCACGGCUUAACUGUGAGCGUGCGGGCGAUACGGGCAGACUAGAGUACUGCAGGGGAGACUGGAAUUCCUGGUGUAGCGGUGGAAUGCGCAGAUAUCAGGAGGAACACCGGUGGCGAAGGCGGGUCUCUGGGCAGUAACUGACGCUGAGGAGCGAAAGCGUGGGGAGCGAACAGGAUUAGAUACCCUGGUAGUCCACGCCGUAAACGGUGGGUACUAGGUGUGGGUUUCCUUCCUUGGGAUCCGUGCCGUAGCUAACGCAUUAAGUACCCCGCCUGGGGAGUACGGCCGCAAGGCUAAAACUCAAAGGAAUUGACGGGGGCCCGCACAAGCGGCGGAGCAUGUGGAUUAAUUCGAUGCAACGCGAAGAACCUUACCUGGGUUUGACAUGCACAGGACGCGUCUAGAGAUAGGCGUUCCCUUGUGGCCUGUGUGCAGGUGGUGCAUGGCUGUCGUCAGCUCGUGUCGUGAGAUGUUGGGUUAAGUCCCGCAACGAGCGCAACCCUUGUCUCAUGUUGCCAGCGGGUAAUGCCGGGGACUCGUGAGAGACUGCCGGGGUCAACUCGGAGGAAGGUGGGGAUGACGUCAAGUCAUCAUGCCCCUUAUGUCCAGGGCUUCACACAUGCUACAAUGGCCGGUACAAAGGGCUGCGAUGCCGCAAGGUUAAGCGAAUCCUUUUAAAGCCGGUCUCAGUUCGGAUUGGGGUCUGCAACUCGACCCCAUGAAGUCGGAGUCGCUAGUAAUCGCAGAUCAGCAACGCUGCGGUGAAUACGUUCCCGGGCCUUGUACACACCGCCCGUCACGUCAUGAAAGUCGGUAACACCCGAAGCCAGUGGCCUAACC
Molecule: ribosomal RNA, 1395 nt
Filed under: Mycobacterium sp. MOTT-90
Lineage: Bacteria; Bacillati; Actinomycetota; Actinomycetes; Mycobacteriales; Mycobacteriaceae
Also listed under: 2 other names
Description: bacterial SSU rRNA
Rfam family: Bacterial small subunit ribosomal RNA
Source: RNAcentral